This is a non-coding RNA of Arachis ipaensis, 167 nucleotides long. The record is from RefSeq and is a predicted model, not a curated record. Lineage: Eukaryota; Viridiplantae; Streptophyta; Magnoliopsida; Fabales; Fabaceae.
GAAAGGAACCAGGCAGGGAAAGGGAACCAAGAAGAGGAAUUCGGUUCUUCUAAGAAACAAGACCCUUCCUUUGUUCCUAAUAACGCUAAUAACACCAAGAAAGGUGGUGGUGGGAUUAAGAAGACAGAGCAGAAGAACAUGGAACAAUGGAAAUAUUAAUUUUGUAA